CUUUAUUUAUGCAGCCCUAGUCACGCCUCCCUGCAUGGCACCUACACAGUCUCCCUACACAUUUCCCGGAAAGAGAGAUCUAAUAUUUAAACAUCCUUUAUUGCGCAGGGGCCACUUGUGUGCGAUUAAAGUUCAAUUAAAAAAAGCAAAAGAUAAAAACGUCUAAAGUAAACACCUGAUUGAAAAUAAAACCAACUUUUGUUGUAGGCUGUGUAGGAGCCAGGAUAGAUGUGGCUAGGGCUGCAUAAUUUACCUCCUAAAUGGCAGAUAUUUGAGCAGUGUGAUUGC
Molecule: non-coding RNA, 288 nt
Organism: Pelobates cultripes (western spadefoot toad)
Lineage: Eukaryota; Metazoa; Chordata; Amphibia; Anura; Pelobatidae
Source: the annotation of a GenBank genome assembly